GUCAUAUGGAGACCUGCAGCGGCUGGAUUUACAGUGAGAAGACUUCCCCAAAUGCAGUGGAACAACACAUCUUUAUUUUCCAUGCAGCUCUUCCUACAAGAACUUCACAUCUAGCAUCUUUACAGCACAACAGAAGAACAGAAAAAACCCUCUGACAACUGGCAGCCUUAAAUACUUCCAGCUGUCACCGACUAAACCAUUCUUCCACUCACAGCACAACAGAUUCCCCACUCUCCCUUAAGCCCUGGUCUCUCCCGGAACCUUUAAAUGGUGUCUGGACCCAGGGGACAUAUUUGCCCAAACACCUUGGAGAAACACAAGAAGAAAGACCCCACCACCUUCCUUGAUGAGGAGGCACUGCGCAGGAUCUGAACCAAGGCCACCAACUGACUUCAAGAUCCAAUAAACCAGCAAACCCCUGUAUGCCACUGUUCUCCUAUGCAAAUCCCUGGGUAAAGUACAAUGCUAAAUAAAAUACUAUUUAUUAAAAUAAAGAAAGAGUGUAUCACUAAUAUACUAUCAAUUACAAUAAAAUAGUAAGGGAAUCCU
This is a long non-coding RNA of Brienomyrus brachyistius, 549 nucleotides long. RefSeq lists it as uncharacterized. NCBI's taxonomy places the organism in Eukaryota, Metazoa, Chordata, Actinopteri, Osteoglossiformes, Mormyridae. The record is from RefSeq and is a predicted model, not a curated record. The transcript is spliced from 3 exons.